Long non-coding RNA from Gouania willdenowi (blunt-snouted clingfish), 1245 nucleotides. The record is from Ensembl. NCBI's taxonomy places the organism in Eukaryota, Metazoa, Chordata, Actinopteri, Blenniiformes, Gobiesocidae.
GCACAGCCCAGCAGACACGGACUGUAAACACGAGUGAGAGAGAAGAAGAUAGUUUUAUACCGGAGAGGAACGUCUGAGCAGCCGUGUUUGUACUGAUAAACUAGCAAAGCUCUUAAGUCUCACUUAUUGGGCCUGAUGUUAGUCACUGAUGUUCGUGUGUGUGAGCCACGGCAGACGCCACUUCCUCCUGUGCCAUGCUAUUGUUAGCUUCUCAAACACGGUAGCUCUCUGAAUAGAUACUUUGAAACCGCCAGCCACCGGUGAGUCUUCUGCAGACACGUUUCCCAUUGUUUAAAUCAUAUAGCUGUUGUUCAAUAACGCGCUGUUUCACUAGAGUCGAUAUUGACCUCAACCUGUUCAAUUCUCCAUCUGGAAAACUGCGGAUUCUGUGUCAUGCUGUGGAUGGAAGCUAAGCUCUGACCACUCGGUUCGAAGGAGAAUCAACAGAAGUUUAAAUGACAUGGAUGGCAGCACUGCACAACAACAGGGAAGUGAUGAAGUUAUCGUCCAAACAGAUGAGCAAAGAGCUGAAUAUUCAAUAAUUGCACAGAAAAAUAAUGAAGAUUCCAGCAAAGCAAAACAGCAGCAAGCAGAACCUUCCAUGACAGCACAGGAAAGUGAUGAAGAUGCCAGAAAAACAAAUGAGCUGAGAGCAGAAACUUCAACAAUAAGCCAUGAUAGUGAUGAAGACAGCCAAACAGAAGAGCAGAAACUUUUAAUGAAGCACAGAGCUCUCAGAGCAAUGAUGACGCUGGCAGCCAAACAGAAGUGCAAAGAGCAGACCUAUAAACAUUGGAACAGAAAGAACUUCAGCAUAUUGCCCACCUGUGGAACACCCACAUUAUUCAGAGAAGCAGAAAUGCAGUUGCACCUAGUGGCCGGCCUCACAUGAUGUACAUGCUUCCUCAGCUUUUUGGGGAAAGGACUAUCUCAAACAUGCAUCUGUGCAAGCAGUACAAACAUGCAGAGCACAAUGCAUACAACGAGGACCUUACCCAUGUGAUGAGACUGCCAUCCACUGGAAGGUUAAUGUGAACACAGACAACUUCCUUCAUCUCCCAUCCACAAUUGAACUGUAUCUAUUUUUAAGAACUUGCAUACGUAAAGAUUUGUGAAAUAAGCUAUCCUGGCUAGUAAAGCACCACCUGCAUUAAUAUUUUUCUAUUCAUAUUGUGUGAAGGUGUGAUAGCAGUGUUACAGAUUUUUCCAUUUAAAGGUAAUAAAAUAAACAAAUAGUUUAUAACA